AGGUUCCACCAUCGGUAGCGUGCUAAUGACAAGCAGCCUCCGCGAAGUAAUACCUAACGAUGGUCCCGCGGAGGAGAGUGGCAGAAGAAGUGUGUGAGGGGUAGUUUUUAGUACGUAAACGCCAUGGAUGGCAAAUCCUGCAUGCUCCUACUAAGAACCAGCAGUACCUUUUGAAGAUUUUCUACCUCCAGCUCGC
Non-coding RNA from Glossina morsitans morsitans, 196 nucleotides. NCBI's taxonomy places the organism in Eukaryota, Metazoa, Arthropoda, Insecta, Diptera, Glossinidae. The record is from Rfam.